GGUUGAUCCUGCCAGUAGUCAUAUGCUUGUCUCAAAGAUUAAGCCAUGCAUGUCUAAGUAUAAACAUCUUUAUACAGUGAAACUGCGUACAGCUCAUUAUAUCAGUAAUUAUUUAUUUGAUGGUACCUUACUACAUGGAUACCCGUAGUAAUUCUAGAGCUAAUACAUGCGUCAAGUCCCAACUCUUGCGGGGAGGGAUGUAUUUAUUAGAUAAAAAAUCAAUGCAGGUUUCGGCCUGGUUUAUUGGUGAUUCAUAGUAACU
RNAcentral lists this ribosomal RNA (262 nucleotides) under uncultured eukaryote. RNAcentral describes it as "partial 18S ribosomal RNA". It matches the Rfam family "Eukaryotic small subunit ribosomal RNA", at positions 6 to 261 of the family's 1831-position model. The record is from RNAcentral.